RNAcentral lists this ribosomal RNA (398 nucleotides) under uncultured bacterium. RNAcentral describes it as "partial 16S ribosomal RNA". It matches the Rfam family "Bacterial small subunit ribosomal RNA", at positions 523 to 918 of the family's 1533-position model. The record is from RNAcentral.
AUACGUAGGGUGCGAGCGUUGUCCGGAAUUACUGGGCGUAAAGAGCUCGUAGGUGGUUUGUCGCGUCGUCUGUGAAAUUCCGGGGCUUAACUCCGGGCGUGCAGGCGAUACGGGCAUAACUUGAGUACUGUAGGGGAGACUGGAAUUCCUGGUGUAGCGGUGAAAUGCGCAGAUAUCUGGAGGAACACCGGUGGCGAAGGCGGGUCUCUGAGCAGUAACUGACGCUGAGGAGCGAAAGCAUGGGUAGCGAACAGGAUUAGAUACCCUGGUAGUCCAUGCCGUAAACGGUGGGCGCUAGGUGUAGGGGUCUUCCACGACUUCUGUGCCGUAGCUAACGCAUUAAGCGCCCCGCCUGGGGAGUACGGCCGCAAGGCUAAAACUCAAAGGAAUUGACGGGG